Molecule: ribosomal RNA, 628 nt
Filed under: uncultured bacterium
Lineage: Bacteria
Description: bacterial SSU rRNA
Rfam family: Bacterial small subunit ribosomal RNA
Source: RNAcentral
GAUGAACGCUAGCUACAGGCUUAACACAUGCAAGUCGAGGGGCAUCAGGAAGAAAGCUUGCUUUCUUUGCUGGCGACCGGCGCACGGGUGAGUAACACGUAUCCAACCUGCCCUUUACUCGGGGAUAGCCUUUCGAAAGAAAGAUUAAUACCCGAUGGUAUAAUUAUUCCGCAUGGUUUGAUUAUUAAAGGAUUCCGGUAAAGGAUGGGGAUGCGUUCCAUUAGGUUGUUGGUGAGGUAACGGCUCACCAAGCCUUCGAUGGAUAGGGGUUCUGAGAGGAAGGUCCCCCACAUUGGAACUGAGACACGGUCCAAACUCCUACGGGAGGCAGCAGUGAGGAAUAUUGGUCAAUGGGCGCGAGCCUGAACCAGCCAAGUAGCGUGAAGGAUGACUGCCCUAUGGGUUGUAAACUUCUUUUAUAUUAGAAUAAAGUGCAGUAUGUAUACUGUUUUGUAUGUAUAAUAUGAACAAGGAUCGGCUAACUCCGUGCCAGCAGCCGCGGUAAUACGGAGGAUCCGAGCGUUAUCCGGAUUUAUUGGGUUUAAAGGGAGCGUANGUGGACUGGUAAGUCAGUUGUGAAAGUUUGCGGCUCAACCGUAAAAUUGCAGUUGAUACCGUCAGUCUUGAG